GACGAACGCUGGCGGCGUGCUUAACACAUGCAAGUCGAGCGGAAAGGCCUCUUUCGGGGGGUACUCGAGUGGCGAACGGGUGAGUAACACGUGAGUAACCUGCCCUUGACUUUGGGAUAACUUCAGGAAACUGGGGCUAAUACCGGAUAGGAGCUCCUGCUGCAUGGUGGGGGUUGGAAAGUUUCGGCGGUUGGGGAUGGACUCGCGGCUUAUCAGCUUGUUGGGGGGGUAGUGGCUUACCAAGGCUUUGACGGGUAGCCGGCCUGAGAGGGUGACCGGCCACAUUGGGACUGAGAUACGGCCCAGACUCCUACGGGAGGCAGCAGUGGGGAAUAUUGCACAAUGGGUGGAAGCCUGAUGCAGCAACGCCGUGUGCGGGAUGACGGCCUUCGGGUUGUAAACCGCUUUCGCUCAUGACGAAGCUUUGUGUGACGGUAGUGGGUAAAGAAGCACCGGCUAACUACGUG
RNAcentral lists this ribosomal RNA (467 nucleotides) under uncultured bacterium. RNAcentral describes it as "partial 16S ribosomal RNA". It matches the Rfam family "Bacterial small subunit ribosomal RNA", at positions 28 to 507 of the family's 1533-position model. The record is from RNAcentral.